UACGAAGGGGGCUAGCGUUGCUCGGAAUCACUGGGCGUAAAGCGCACGUAGGCGGCUUUCUAAGUCAGGGGUGAAAUCCUGGAGCUCAACUCCAGAACUGCCUUUGAUACUGGAGAGCUUGAGUCCGGGAGAGGUGAGUGGAACUCCGAGUGUAGAGGUGAAAUGCGCAGAUAUCAGGAGGAACACCGAUGGCGAAGGCAGCUCGCUGGGACGGUACUGACGCUGAGGCGCGAAAGCGUGGGGAGCAAACAGG
Molecule: ribosomal RNA, 253 nt
Filed under: uncultured bacterium
Lineage: Bacteria
Description: partial 16S ribosomal RNA
Rfam family: Bacterial small subunit ribosomal RNA
Source: RNAcentral